Sander lucioperca (pikeperch) is the source of this 1833-nucleotide RNA transcript. RefSeq lists it as uncharacterized. NCBI's taxonomy places the organism in Eukaryota, Metazoa, Chordata, Actinopteri, Perciformes, Percidae. The record is from RefSeq and is a predicted model, not a curated record. The transcript has 8 exons.
GCUGCCUUUUAGUAAUACCAGCAAAACCAGAUAGGUUUAUAGCUAUACAAUCAAUUUCUCAAUGAACCGGGAAGAUCUGAAUUAUUUUCUGUCAAGGCUCAUUACUUAAGUGUGAGCAGUUGUUUGUGUGUCAAAUUGAAUGUUACAAAAUGUUACAAUUGAAUAAUUUUGUGCAUCCAGUCCACUCAUUACACCUGGCCAUGUAAUAGGACACCAGCCAUGCAUUUGUUUCUUGCAGUAGCUGCAACAGUAUCAUCAUCAUGUUCCACAGCACAGGGGUUUCCAUGGUGAGGCAUUGUAGCAUUUUUCACCUGCUGCAGUAGAAGAUGGCUGGCUUAACCAAAGGGUUACAGUAAUAAAGGGGGGCAUUGUUAGUAUCCAAUAUGACUGCAGCGGCAAAAACACUGGCCCAAGCCCGUUCUGUGGGCAAAGACUUCCACCUGUCUACCAACAUCCCAUUUCUGGACAGGAACAAUCCAGAUGCCUUCUCAACAUGUUCCCAGAAGGACUUCCAGCCUUUUUCUUCCAAGAAGGCAGAACCUUUCCGUCCGCCCGCCCAAGCCCAUUUGGAUCACAAGGACUUGAGGCACAUCAAGGAGUACCUGACAGAGGCGAUGGUGUCCUACCACCCUCACCCAAUGCUACAGAUCACCCGCACCCCACGCUGGACCACACUUCACACCAACUUCAAGAUGCAAACAGACCCAGGGGAGGUUGCUUUCCUCACCACACAGUCCCAGAAUUUCCAGCCCCAGCCCUUCCAGCCUCCUCCCACUCUCAUCCGACACACAAAGGCCAACAAGAAGACCCAACACGUGGAAAAGCUCCCAGAGAGCACCAACAAAGCCUCCUUCACCCCACAUCGUCGCUGUCCUGUUGUAAAAGCCACAGCUAAACAUCUAGAAGAGGGCUUUCCCACAAUCAAAGGGGACAGACGCAGUCACAGCUUUGUCUCUCAUUACAACAACACCUUCCAGGGAGCCUGGAGCAGAGUGGCUAAACCUGUAGAAAAGCACUCCUCAGUGACUAUGGGUGAUCCUGUGAAGAUUGUCGAGAGAGAGACGACCCACGCUGCGUCAUUCAGCUGGCCCACUGUCUGCAGGCCAGUUGUGGUGAAGGAGCGUUUGAAGCUCAGUCUUGGAAAUUUCUCUAAGGACUUAUGGUCGUCCACAUCCAGAGAAGCCUUUUGUCACCACAAGCUAGGAGAUCCAGUUGUUGUGACGAGGAACCAAAAUUGCCAUUCCUUACCCAAGGGGGACACUGAUACGAGGUGCAACAAAGAGAUGAUGUAUGUCACCACCAACAGAAUCUCCUUCUCUGAUCUGAACCACAGAGAGCGUCCGGUGCACGUGCUCGGGGCUGACCUGAUGACCAAGAGCCAUGUACAGUUCAGCCCACCUCAUCUGUCGGGCCUGUACUACACAUCCACGGCCAAACAACACUACAGCAAACAGGAGGGAGAGCGCGCCAGACCAGCCAUUCAGCUGCUGAGCAACAUACUGAGUGGACCAGAACAUGAGUGUUGAACUAUCAAGCCUGAUUACCUCCCUUUGAAGACCUGCAGACAGACACCUUGUCUGUCACAGCAGAGGAGCAACAUCAGGUUUCCACUGGCUGAUCAGCACUUCUGCACCUCCCACAGUGAAGACUACACGGCCAAACCUAUGAUCUUGCAGCCACCUGCCUACAGCCAGUUCAGCACUCAUUUUGUCAUGCUGUAACUAAAGCCACUCUGUUAUCACCCCCUAGUUUUGUGUUUUUUUUUAAUGAACUGCAUAAUUCUCAUAAUCUUACUGGGCUGAUUAAUAAAUAACAUUUUUACUUAGAAGAGUA